GCGGGUGUGGCGGAACUGGCAGACGCGCGGGAUUUAGGAUCCCGUGGCCGCAAGGCCUUGCAGGUUCGACUCCUGUCACCCGCA
This 84-nucleotide transfer RNA is filed under the name Phycisphaerae bacterium. RNAcentral describes it as "tRNA-Leu". It matches the Rfam family "tRNA". Rfam says of the family: Transfer RNA (tRNA) molecules are approximately 80 nucleotides in length. Their secondary structure includes four short double-helical elements and three loops (D, anti-codon, and T loops). Lineage: Bacteria; Pseudomonadati; Planctomycetota; Phycisphaerae. The record is from RNAcentral.